UAUAGACAACACACCUACCGAUGCAUGUAUGAAGUAAACAUAUCUCAUAAAGUGCAACAAAAACAUUUUAACUUGCGUAGGUAUUACGCAUAAUAAAGUACCUACCUGUACACAGUGCGUAUCAUUUUGUUUAUUUAUUUCGUAGAUUCGGCGUUUCGGAGGGCCAUCGUUUGUUGGAAAGUAUUUCGUGGGAAAUGGGUUUUUCGGAAACGUAUUUUGUCGGAAAAAUAAUUCGUCGGAACAGUUGUGUCUUGUCAGAAAAGUAUUUUUUUUAGAACCGUAUUUUGUUGGAAAAAAACAAUUCCGACCAAAUACGGUCCCUACAAAAUAUUUUACGCCUCCCC
Molecule: non-coding RNA, 344 nt
Organism: Cinara cedri
Lineage: Eukaryota; Metazoa; Arthropoda; Insecta; Hemiptera; Aphididae
Source: the annotation of a GenBank genome assembly